RNAcentral lists this small RNA (457 nucleotides) under Arabidopsis thaliana (thale cress). RNAcentral's name for it is "ATSL086600". Lineage: Eukaryota; Viridiplantae; Streptophyta; Magnoliopsida; Brassicales; Brassicaceae. The record is from RNAcentral.
AAUAGCAAAGGGGAAUACAUCUAGAGUUACUGGAUCUAUCACAGCUCAAGGAAGACAAUCAGAAGAUGAACAAUCAUUAUUCUCUUUUGUGAAUUGUAAGAUCGAUGGAAGUGGGGAAAUAUUGCUUGGAAGAGCUUGGGGAGCUGAUAGUAGGAUUUUACUCAAUUAAUCCCUAAAACACUAUCUUGUCGUUGUAGUAUUUUAGGAUGUCAAUCCAAUUCGGUGUGAUGCAAACAGAUGAGAUAUGAUCAGAAAGCUCUAAGUCAAGCCAAGCAGAAAGUUGGUUGGUUCUAAAGUCCUAGUAUGCAAUAGCAGAAAUGAAAUGAAACUAAAAGCAGAAAUGGCAAUAGCAGGCAAGUGAAUGACAAAGCAGAAAUGAUAACAGGCAAUCAAAUGGAUAAACGAUUCCUAAGGAUGGGGUAAUCGAUUAGUGUGGUCUCCUUAAUCUAUUCAGGCG